This 552-nucleotide ribosomal RNA is filed under the name uncultured bacterium. Its description in RNAcentral is "partial 16S ribosomal RNA". It matches the Rfam family "Bacterial small subunit ribosomal RNA", at positions 355 to 898 of the family's 1533-position model. The record is from RNAcentral.
UAGGGAAUCUUCCACAAUGGACGCAAGUCUGAUGGAGCAACGCCGCGUGAGUGAAGAAGGCUUUCGGACCGUAAAGCUCUGUUGUUGGUGAAGAAGGAUAGAGGUAGUAACUGGCCUUUAUUUGACGGUAAUCAACCAGAAAGUCACGGCUAACUACGUGCCAGCAGCCGCGGUAAUACGUAGGUGGCAAGCGUUGUCCGGAUUUAUUGGGCGUAAAGCGAGCGCAGGCGGAAGAAUAAGUCUGAUGUGAAAGCCCUCGGCUUAACCGAGGAAUUGCAUCGGAAACUGUUUUCUUGAGUGCAGAAGAGGAGAGUAGAACUCCAUGUGUAGCGGUGGAAUGCGUAGAUAUAUGGAAGAAUACCAGUGGCGAAGGCGGCUCUCUGGUCUGCAACUGACGCUGAGGCUCGAAAGCAUGGGUAGCGAACAGGAUUAGAUACCCUGGUAGUCCAUGCCGUAAACGAUGAGUGCUAAGUGUUGGGAGGCUUCCGCCUCUCAGUGCUGCAGCUAACGCAUUAAGCACUCCGCCUGGGGGAGUACGACCGCAAGGUUGAA